This 83-nucleotide transfer RNA is filed under the name Candidatus Wildermuthbacteria bacterium GWA1_49_26. Its description in RNAcentral is "tRNA-Tyr". It matches the Rfam family "tRNA". From Rfam's summary of the family: Transfer RNA (tRNA) molecules are approximately 80 nucleotides in length. Their secondary structure includes four short double-helical elements and three loops (D, anti-codon, and T loops). The record is from RNAcentral. RNAcentral also lists the same sequence under 8 other names. Lineage: Bacteria; Candidatus Wildermuthiibacteriota.
GGGUCGGUGGCAGAGCGGUCAAUUGCUCGUGGCUGUAAACCACGCGUCUUCGGACUUCGGGGGUUCGAAUCCCUCCCGGCCCA